Molecule: non-coding RNA, 120 nt
Organism: Podospora conica
Lineage: Eukaryota; Fungi; Ascomycota; Sordariomycetes; Sordariales; Podosporaceae
Source: the annotation of a GenBank genome assembly
GGGCUAUUGGUCUAGUGGUAUGAUUUUCGCUUCGCAUCUUCAUUUCUGCAUCAUCUGCAAAGAUCAUGUGGGAGAGAUACGUCCUGUGAAAGGUCGCCGGUUCAAUUCCGGCAUAGUCCA